Molecule: long non-coding RNA, 1143 nt
Filed under: Sorghum bicolor (sorghum)
Lineage: Eukaryota; Viridiplantae; Streptophyta; Magnoliopsida; Poales; Poaceae
Description: long non-coding RNA (SBIC_LNC001022)
Source: RNAcentral
CCGUCUUACAAGUGUUCUUACCAUAGCCAAACAGGAGCAAAACCAAAUUGGCAAAAUAAUCUGUUGUUGAGCGUGGGUAAACAGUUGCAAGAUAAACCUAUGCUGACAGAAGUAUAUGUGUAGCUUUGGACAGGCACAAUUUAAGUAGCAAGGAUUAGCAAUAUUCGAAUGCAGAGUUAGCUAAGUUUAAUAAGUAUCCAAAGGACAAAUCACAAUUACUGGCUAAGAUGUGUCUAGACGUAGCGCAGCAAGAUGAAACUAAGUAUAAUGAACAAGCAAUAGAGCACAUUUUUCCUUUGUCCUGAUUUUUCCUGGAUUUUUCCAAAAGGCACUAGUAGGAAUCAAGAUUUUUUAUUUUUUCACUAUUUUUUUAUAUUUUUCUCUGAACAAGGAUCACAAAAGAUGUAACCACAAAAAUUGGCAACUACAACUAAGAUAAUAUGUGGUCUACAAAAAUUCAGCAAGUUCUCUGAAAAGCGUGCAAAACCCUUGUUAAUUUUUUUCUUUAUUUUCCUGAAUUUUUUGGCAAUUUUUAUGAGACCAAACAGCGUUUUGCCAAGUUUGGGUCGGGUCCAAAUGGUGUCAAGAAAAUGCUGUAAAAAUUUCAGAUUUUAUGAUAAACGAGCGAAAAGUUAUGCCUGUUUUAUCGAAGGUAUCUCAAGUUAUGUUUUUUGGAAAGCACAACACGGCGGCGGCGGCAGUAGUUAGGGAAAAGCGUCCCUAAACUCAAACACCGAUCACAGGAUGACUAACAAUAGUAGGGAUUCGCCUGAUGAUGUAAGGAGGGCUGCGAAGCAGGCAAAAUAAUAGUGGCUGGCAACCUAUCUAGGGUUAGCGCGGCGGCGAGAGAUCACACAAGGCGGCUAGCGGAGGCAAGUCGAGCAAUGUGGUGGCUUCGAAUUGUUGUUUAGAAAUAGUGGAUAGGAUAACGGUGGAAACUAAGAAUGGCAACGGUGCAAAUGAACUAUGACGAACACAAUCAAAACCAGCAACUAGACUCAACCACGGACACAAACUCAACAAAGCAAAUCUGAAAACGAAAUUGCAAGGCACAAUAGAUGAUAGGAUAGCGGAAAAUUAAACUAUUUUUUGGGGCUUUCUGUGGACUGUAGGUAAUCAACAAAUAUUAAUUUAGGGCAAACG